Molecule: non-coding RNA, 150 nt
Organism: Populus trichocarpa (black cottonwood)
Lineage: Eukaryota; Viridiplantae; Streptophyta; Magnoliopsida; Malpighiales; Salicaceae
Source: Rfam
UCUGAAACUCGAGAUAUAGACUGAACACUGAAUAAUAUUUGGGCUGCAAGACAAAUUCCGACUUCUCCGUUGUUGCUACCAUUCGAAAAUGGCACUUUUAAAUCUUGGACUCUCCAUGAAAGGUUUAGGCCUAUGUCUUAGCUUUCCAUA